Stegodyphus dumicola is the source of this 73-nucleotide non-coding RNA. The record is from the annotation of a RefSeq genome assembly. Lineage: Eukaryota; Metazoa; Arthropoda; Arachnida; Araneae; Eresidae.
GCCUUCGUAGUGUAGCGGUCAGCACGCUCGACUGGAAUUAGAGAGCUCCGCGGUUCGAUUCCCUGCGAGGGCA